GGGCCCGUAGCUCAGCCCGGUAGAGCGCCCGGCUCAUAACCGGGUGGUCGGGGGUUCGAAUCCCCCCGGGCCCA
RNAcentral lists this transfer RNA (74 nucleotides) under Thermogladius calderae 1633. RNAcentral describes it as "tRNA-Ile2 (CAT) (tRNA-Ile2-CAT-1-1)". It matches the Rfam family "tRNA". From Rfam's summary of the family: Transfer RNA (tRNA) molecules are approximately 80 nucleotides in length. The record is from Rfam by way of RNAcentral. Lineage: Archaea; Thermoproteati; Thermoproteota; Thermoprotei; Desulfurococcales; Desulfurococcaceae. RNAcentral also lists the same sequence under 2 other names.